This 497-nucleotide ribosomal RNA is filed under the name uncultured bacterium. RNAcentral's name for it is "partial 16S ribosomal RNA". It matches the Rfam family "Bacterial small subunit ribosomal RNA", at positions 28 to 507 of the family's 1533-position model. The record is from RNAcentral.
GAUGAACGCUGGCGGCGUGCCUAAUACAUGCAAGUCGAGCGAACAGACGAGGAGCUUGCUCCUCUGACGUUAGCGGCGGACGGGUGAGUAACACGUGGAUAACCUACCUAUAAGACUGGGAUAACUUCGGGAAACCGGAGCUAAUACCGGAUAAUAUAUUGAACCGCAUGGUUCAAUAGUGAAAGACGGUUUUGCUGUCACUUAUAGAUGGAUCCGCGCCGCAUUAGCUAGUUGGUAAGGUAACGGCUUACCAAGGCGACGAUGCGUAGCCGACCUGAGAGGGUGAUCGGCCACACUGGAACUGAGACACGGUCCAGACUCCUACGGGAGGCAGCAGUAGGGAAUCUUCCGCACUGGGCGCGCGCCUGCCGGCGCCCCGCCGCGUGAGUGAUGAAGGUCUUCGGAUCGUAAAACUCUGUUAUUAGGGAAGAACAAAUGUGUCAGUAACUAUGCACGUCUUGACGGUACCUAAUCAGAAAGCCACGGCUAACUACGUG